This 367-nucleotide ribosomal RNA is filed under the name uncultured organism. RNAcentral's name for it is "bacterial LSU rRNA". It matches the Rfam family "Bacterial large subunit ribosomal RNA", at positions 2099 to 2465 of the family's 2925-position model. The record is from RNAcentral.
CUUUACUCCAGCUUUGCACUGGCAUCAGGAUUGUGAUGUGCAGGAUAGGUGGUAGGCAUCGAAGCGGGGACGCUAGUUCCCGUGGAGCCUCCCUUGAGAUACCACCCUUCGCACUCUUGAUGUCUAACCGCGGCCCGUUAUCCGGGUCCGGGACCCUGCAUGGUGGGGAGUUUGACUGGGGCGGUCGCCUCCCAAACAGUAACGGAGGCGCGCGAAGGUUGGCUCAGACCGGUCGGAAAUCGGUCGUUGAGUGCAAUGGCAGAAGCCAGCCUGACUGCAAGACUGACAAGUCGAGCAGAGACGAAAGUCGGCCAUAGUGAUCCGGUGGUCCCAAGUGGGAGGGCCAUCGCUCAACGGAUAAAAGGUA